GAAGCACAUCGUCAUGCAAUUCAGCUUCCAAGUUGGCCUCGUCUUCCAUUUCAUUGGCACACUCAUCAUCUGGUACCUCAUCCAAAAGUGUAUACCUUGUGUGGACUUGAGGUAUACACGUGCCAUCUUCUUGGGUUGGCAGCAAACGGAUCUCCUGUAAAGCUUCAGUAAUUUUCCUCAUUGCAACAUGGUACGCAUCA
Molecule: long non-coding RNA, 200 nt
Filed under: Hordeum vulgare
Lineage: Eukaryota; Viridiplantae; Streptophyta; Magnoliopsida; Poales; Poaceae
Description: long non-coding RNA (HVUL_LNC014426)
Source: RNAcentral